CUUUACCCUGUCUCCUCUCUCGGUGAGCCUGGGGAUCGGGUCUCUUCGCAGAUGUCUUCAGGAGCCAGAAGCAAAAGGGAAAUGGACAUAACUCCGAGAAGCAGAUAGUGAAUGUCCAGCCUCCGCCACAGCUUUGCCACCAUGAGCUUCUUUGAUCACACUCUACCACUAUAAUGAGGGAGACCUGAACCUUGCUCACUGACAGCCUUUGAAGACCCAAAUGCUACUAUGGAUUGGAAGGUGCCCAAGGAAUGAAAGGGGACAUAGCCAUAAUCGUGGAAGAGGAGGGAGCCACCUCACUGCAGCCCAGCCUGCUCUGACUCCCAGGCAGCAAGAUUGGACGGCUUGCUCUCUAGCAGGGGGAUGGCCUUGCAGGCUGACCCUGGGAGGUGCCCAGCAGCACGUGGAGUGGCAGCCUCUAAUGAGGAGCUUCCUGUGGUUGCUGAGGAGGGAGAGAAUAGGAAGCCACUUACCUGGAGGAAAACAGGAGGGAGCCCUGACAUUUUUUCCUCUUUAAGGCUGGAGCUAGGAGGGAAAGCAGAAGAAGCAGAGCCUGCUGUGCACACUCAGUCGCAAAGCUUUGCUGAACUCUUCUUUACAGCUGACCCUGCCAGAGGGGCCAGCAGAAGCUCAAAACACAUGUCUCUCCAUCCUGCAAAGGGAUUUUCAGAGCUGCUAGACAUCUCUGGUGGCCUGAAGGCGUCAGGGGCGAUCCAUUAACCCUACAAACGUUGAAUGUUGUAUUGUACAACAAAGUCUUUGCAGAGAUGAUCAGCUAAGGUCCCCUGGGUUGGCUCCUUAGGCUUAGACAUUCAAUGUGUUCUCCUGUGUACAUAAUAGAAGAGAAAGGCUGAGGGGGAUUUUAUAAUGGCACAUACACACACACACACACACACAUACACACACACACACACACACACACACACACACACACACACACACAAAGCAGGGGUGAUGUAAGAAUGGUGUACAGAAAGACUUGAAGUUGCUUGCGAUGGGAGGCAGCCACAAGCACGGAAGCACUGGCCGCCAGCAGAAGCUGCAGCGCCAAGGACCAGGUUCUUGUAUGCAAACUGUACUGGGCAUGUGGCCUUGUUGUUUUGGCCUAGCUAAAAACAAAAUGUUGAACUUGUGACUUCCCAGAAAUGUUAGGGAAUAAGUCUAUGUUGCUUUAUGCCUCAAGAUCCAUGGUAAUUUGUUCCAGUAGCCCCAGGGCUAUCCUUGCAGAUGAAGUAGAAGCCUGGGUCUAAAGACACUUUGGGUAAGUAGAGUCACAUUCGUUCCCUUGGGAAUAUAUAUUGAGUGACCGUGAUGGUCCGGAUACAGAAGCUGUGAACAAGGAAGAUGGCAUCCCUGAUAACACUGGGAUGGGGGUGAGAGCAGGUAAUACAUAGAGAGUGUCUUAGUCACUGUUUUAUUCCUGUGAAGAGACACCAGGACCAAGGAAAGUCUUAGAAUGAAAGCAUUUAAUUAAGGGCUUGCUUACAGUCUCAGAGGUUUAGUCCAUUGUCUUCAUGACGGGGAGCGUGGUGGCGUGCACGACACUAGAGCAGUAGCUGAGAGCUACAUCCUGAUUCACAGGCUGAGGGAGGGUAGAGGGGGAGAGAGAGAGAGAGAGAGAGAGAGAGAGAGAGAGAGAGAGAGAGAGAGAGAACAAGCCUGGGCCUAGUAUGGACUUUACAAACCUCAAAACCCACAUGUGACCAUUGUUAUAGCAAUGCUUUCAAGAGAGUGUUCCAGAGUGAGGUGGAAUGGAGGACAGAGUGGACUAGGAAAGAGAUGACCUUUCAGAUGGGCCAUCCUGAGAUCUAAACCCUAAAUAUCAAGACAGCCUUGCCAACUGGAGAAAGCUUUCUUAGAGGAAGGAGCUUUCAGUGCAAAGGUCCUGUGAUGGAGUAAAUGAUCCAGAACACACUGCUCUGAGUAAGGGUGGAGAGCCUCUGCAGGGAAGCGGCUUCUGGCUGUCUUAGUCCUGCCUUGGAGCUAACCCUGAAGUAAGUAUGUAAGGCUCUUGAUCUAGUAUGUUCAAGGAGGAUUUUUUUGGGGGGGGCACUUAGCUACAGUCAUGCUUUGGGCUUUAAACUCUGCUGGCAACUUUGAACCAAACGCAUUGAUGAGAUUGAACAGGGAUAAAACUGUCUUCCUAAGUCAGCAAGGGACCCACAGGAAGUGUGUUGUUUUUGCAAAGGCCCCAGAGCUCAACAUCAACAGAAAGUGUGACUCGACAAAGCCAUCAGCAAAGGUGACAUGCACCUGCAAUGCUUUCAAGAACAGGACACACCUCAAGGUGGAUGGCUGGUGUGCUGCUUCCAGAGCUGUGGCUGGGUAGCGCAGUAUGGGGUCAUAGAAACAGAUAGUUUAUUCACUUACUCAUUCAAUUAAUAAAUGUUUAGUGAGCACCUAUCACGUUCCCAGCACCAACUAGACUUUGAGGAAUAACAGUGAAUGGGCGAUGAUGUCACAGAACUUAAUGGAGAGGGACUCAGCACGUUUGCUGUGUAAUUAUUUUCCAUUAUUAAAGCUUCUAGAUUAUUAAAUUAUGGUUAGUAAUAAAACAUCAAAAAAAAAGUAAUUGUAGAAAUAUAUAGUAGCUGGGCGGUAGGUGUUACACACCUUUAAUCCUAGCCCUCAGGAGGCAAAGGCUGGAAGACCUCUGAGUUAGAGGCCAACCUGGUCUACUGGGCAAGUUCCAGGACAGCCAGAGCUACAGGGAGAAAUCCUGUCUCAAAAAAACAAACAAACAAACAAAAUCCUAGUCUUCUGCAUUUGCCUUUUGGCUUAAUGCAUCCUGAGUCCAGUCCUUUCACAAACACUCGUUUCUUUUUAAGAGCUGAGUAAGGAGUCUGCAUUAUGAAUACAGCACAGUGUAACUAUGAUCCUCUUGGUAGAGUUCGUCUAUACUGUAAGUAACAUGCAAAGAAAAUUGCCCUGCAUGUCUUUAUGUAGCCUAUGGGUGCAUUUUUAAAGGACAAAUGCACAGAAGUGAAAUGUGGGUCAAAGGGGAGUGAGUAAUUUAAUCAAGAUGUCACACACAGGUCCUACACCCUCAGCAACACAGGUGCCAGGGGUGGCCAUCCUGUCCGAUGGGAAUGACAGCCGCUUGUUUAAAUAAACCAUUUUAACAUCUAAUUCAGCCGAUGUGAAGCAGCCUCCCGGGAACUUGUCCAAGGCCUCAUAAAGUGUGUGCUGUGACCCCGUAUGGUGUCAUGAGGCUGACUCUGAAGGUCUCAAAGGUUUUGGCCAUAUUAAAAUCUCAUUGAACAUACAAACUAAACAGUAGUUUUAAGCCACACAACACAGUGCUCCUGGCAGUGCCCAUGGGUGCCACAUCACAAACACUCACACAGUCUUCGUUCUGAACUUGACACCUGUAUUUUGCACCACGUAUGACAUCACGCAAUGCUGAUGGUUCCUGCCGGGAAAGGCUCAGCUCAGAUUUGAGCUACGACUGCUAUAAAUUAGAGCGUUCUACUGUACGUGCAGUUUUCUGCUCUUGUAGACACUUCAGGUUUGAACUAUGGAAAACAAAGAUUAUUAUCCUGCCAUCCUUCCUCGGCUCAUGGGUAUGAAGUUAGUGUGUUUGACUAACACUAAGUUUGACUGCUCGGGGUUAGAAAGUUUGAUUUUAAGAAUUGUUAUUGGGCUGAAGAGAUGGCUCAGUGGGUAAGAGCACUGACUGCUCUUCUGAAGGUUCUGAGUUCAAAUCCCAGCAACCACAUGGUGGCUCACAGCCAUCUGUAAUGAGAUCUGACACCCUCUCCUGGUGUGUCUGCAGACAGCUACAGUGUACUUACAUAUAAUAAUAAAUAAAAUCUUAAAAAAAAAAAGAAGAAUUGUUAUUUGAGUUUCAUAGAAAUCAUUCAAUGGAUUAUGGUGGGGGAUUAGGACAGAAUCUCUAAUAAUUCUGAAGUGACCCCAGGCAUGCUCCCAAUAUUUUGUACUAUGCAUUUGUGAGAACCAGCCUUCUCCAUAUUGACAGUUAUAGAAUCAAAAUAUUGAGCAACUCUGAAAGACAUUGGAGACACUGUAGAUCCUACAAUAUCAAAUAUCCAGCCAAGAUUUGGUUCAUUUAUGUAAACAAGCAUGGUGUCAAAUUAAUAUGUAAAUUUGCUUUAAUUGUUAAUGAAUAGUAAAAAUUACAUGUAUACCAUAGAAUUGCUUUAAAAUAAAUUUCUUUAUGACUUAUCUGCAA
Long non-coding RNA from Mastomys coucha (southern multimammate mouse), 4192 nucleotides. RefSeq lists it as uncharacterized. The record is from RefSeq and is a predicted model, not a curated record. NCBI's taxonomy places the organism in Eukaryota, Metazoa, Chordata, Mammalia, Rodentia, Muridae. The transcript is spliced from 3 exons.